RNAcentral lists this small RNA (27 nucleotides) under Bombyx mori (domestic silkworm). RNAcentral describes it as "piRNA piR-bmo-1756246". Lineage: Eukaryota; Metazoa; Arthropoda; Insecta; Lepidoptera; Bombycidae. The record is from RNAcentral.
CGACGGGGUAACCCAAAGUGGCCUGAA